ACCUGGCUGGCUCAGUUGGAAUAGCAUGAGACUCUUGAUCUCGGGGUCGUGGGUUCGAGUCCCACACUGGGUG
Non-coding RNA from Ailuropoda melanoleuca (giant panda), 73 nucleotides. The record is from Rfam. Lineage: Eukaryota; Metazoa; Chordata; Mammalia; Carnivora; Ursidae.